This 467-nucleotide ribosomal RNA is filed under the name uncultured Streptococcus sp. RNAcentral describes it as "bacterial SSU rRNA". It matches the Rfam family "Bacterial small subunit ribosomal RNA", at positions 916 to 1381 of the family's 1533-position model. The record is from RNAcentral. Lineage: Bacteria; Bacillati; Bacillota; Bacilli; Lactobacillales; Streptococcaceae.
GACGGGGCCCGCACAAGCGGUGGAGCAUGUGGUUUAAUUCGAAGCAACGCGAAGAACCUUACCAGGUCUUGACAUCCCGAUGCUAUUUCUAGAGAUAGAAAGUUACUUCGGUACAUCGGUGACAGGUGGUGCAUGGUUGUCGUCAGCUCGUGUCGUGAGAUGUUGGGUUAAGUCUCGCAACGAGCGCAACCCCUAUUGUUAGUUGCCAUCAUUCAGUUGGGCACUCUAGCGAGACUGCCGGUAAUAAACCGGAGGAAGGUGGGAUGACGUCAAAUCAUCAUGCCCCUUAUGACCUGGGCUACACACGUGCUACAAUGGUUGGUACAACGAGUUGCGAGUCGGUGACGGCGAGCUAAUCUCUUAAAGCCAAUCUCAGUUCGGAUUGUAGGCUGCAACUCGCCUACAUGAAGUCGGAAUCGCUAGUAAUCGCGGAUCAGCACGCCGCGGUGAAUACGUUCCCGGGCCUU